Molecule: ribosomal RNA, 301 nt
Filed under: uncultured bacterium
Lineage: Bacteria
Description: partial 16S ribosomal RNA
Rfam family: Bacterial small subunit ribosomal RNA
Source: RNAcentral
CAGUCGCCGCGGUAAUACGAAGGGGGCUAGCGUUGUUCGGAUUUACUGGGCGUAAAGCGCACGUAGGCGGACUUUUAAGUCAGGGGUGAAAUCCCGGGGCUCAACCCCGGAACUGCCUUUGAUACUGGGAGUCUUGAGUUCGAGAGAGGUGAGUGGAAUUGCGAGUGUAGAGGUGAAAUUCGUAGAUAUUCGCAGGAACACCAGUGGCGAAGGCGGCUCACUGGCUCGAUACUGACGCUGAGGUGCGAAAGCGUGGGGAGCAAACAGGAUUAGAUACCCCAGUAGUCCCUGUCUCUUAUAC